This 1631-nucleotide unclassified non-coding RNA is filed under the name uncultured Malasseziales. RNAcentral's name for it is "sequence contains 18S rRNA gene, ITS1, 5.8S rRNA gene, ITS2, 28S rRNA gene". The stretch from base 664 to 1631 matches the Rfam family "Eukaryotic large subunit ribosomal RNA", at positions 1 to 961 of the family's 3401-position model. The record is from RNAcentral. Lineage: Eukaryota; Fungi; Basidiomycota; Malasseziomycetes; Malasseziales.
AGAAGGAUCAUUAGUGAAGAUUUGGGCAGGCCAUACGGACGCCAAAAAGUGUCCCUGGCCGCCUACACCCACUAUACAUCCACAAACCCGUGUGCACUGUCUUGGAGAAAGGCUUCAGAGAAGUUUUUUGUGGCCUCUCUUGGGGUCUUUCUUCGCUACAAACUCGAAUGGUUAGUAUGAACGUGGAACUUGGUUGGACCGUCACUGGCCAACAAACUAUACACAACUUUCGACAACGGAUCUCUUGGUUCUCCCAUCGAUGAAGAACGCAGCGAAACGCGAUAGGUAAUGUGAAUUGCAGAAUUCCGUGAAUCAUCGAAUCUUUGAACGCACCUUGCGCUCUAUGGCAAUCCGUAGAGCAUGCCUGUUUGAGUGCCAUGAAAUCUCCCACCCCAAGCGGUUUUUGAAUGUGAAACGGCUUGGCGGAUGGGGUCUGGAUGGGUGCCUCUGCCUGUGCUAAACCUUAGCCCACAGGCUCGCCCGAAAUGCAUGAGCGCCUUGGGACACUUUGCAUCCGCCUCUCUUGUGGGAGGAGGCGGCCAAGCAGUGUUUUUCUCCAGGCAUGGCAUGAUACGUCAUUUGCUAUGUCGCCCAAUGGAGGAAUGUUUGGUUGUGUCUGCGUGUGCUUCGAACUUGCCUCUGUGCAAAAUCCCCUUUCACUUCUGGUCUCAAAUCAGGUAGGAUCACCCGCUGAACUUAAGCAUAUCAAUAAGCGGAGGAAAAGAAACUAACAAGGAUUCCCCUAGUAACGGCGAGCGAAGCGGGAAGAGCUCAAAUUUGAAAGCUGGCGUCUUCGGCGUCCGCGUUGUAAUCUCGAGACGUGUUUUCCGUGCGGCUCUAUGGACAAGUCCCUUGGAACAGGGCAUCGUAGAGGGUGAAAAUCCCGUACUUGCCAUGGAAGUACCGUGCUUUGUGAUACACGCUCCAAGAGUCGAGUAGUUUGGGAUUGCUGCUCAAAGUGGGUGGUAGACUCCAUCUAAAGCUAAAUAUCGGGGAGAGACCGAUAGCGAACAAGUACCGUGAGGGAAAGAUGAAAAGCACUUUGGAAAGAGAGUUAAAAGUACGUGAAAUUGUCGAAAGGGAAGCACUUGAAGUCAGCCAUGCUGCUUGAGACUCAGCCUGGCUUUUGCUUGGUGUAUUUCUCGGUAGCAAGCCAGCAUUGGUUUGUGUCGUCGGAGAAGCGUAUGGGGAAUGUGGCAUCCUCGGAUGUGUUAUAGCCCUGUGCAGGAUACGACGACGUAGACCAAGGAACGCAGUGUGCCCUCUGGGCGGGUCUUCGGACACCUUCACACUUAGGAUGCUGGCGUAAUGGCUUUAAGUGGCCCGUCUUGAAACACGGACCAAGGAGUCUAACAUGUAUGCGAGUUUUUGGGUGGCAAACCCAUGAGCGUAAUGAAAGUGAAUGCAGGUGGGAUCCGCAAGGAGCACCAUCGACCGGCCCUGAUGUUCUCGGAUGGGUCUGCGUAAGAGCAUAUAUGUUGGGACCCGAAAGAUGGUGAACUAUGCCUGAAUAGGGCGAAGCCAGAGGAAACUCUGGUGGAGGCUCGUAGCGAUUCUGACGUGCAAAUCGAUCGUCAAAUUUGGGUAUAGGGGCGAAAGACUAAUCGAACCAUCUAGUAGCUGGUUCCUGC